GGUGCGGAUCUUCUCUGGCAGGAAGCCUCUGCUCUACAGCUACCAGGGUUCGUUGCCAAACCUGCCUGUGCCUGCCAUCAAGGACACGGUCAAGAGGCACUUGGAAUCUGUGCGUCCACUGAUGGAUGACUCAGAGUACGAACGUAUGACCAAGCUGGCGGCAGAGUUUGAGAGCGGCGUCGGCAACCGCCUGCAGUGGUACCUCAAGCUCAAAGCUCUCUGGGCCACCAACUACGUUAGCGACUGGUGGGAGGAGUAUGUCUGUCUACGU
Molecule: non-coding RNA, 271 nt
Organism: Plectropomus leopardus (leopard coralgrouper)
Lineage: Eukaryota; Metazoa; Chordata; Actinopteri; Perciformes; Serranidae
Source: RefSeq, a predicted model, not a curated record